GGCUUCAUAGCCAGUUGGUUAGAGCGUUGCACCGGUAUCACAAGGUCACGGGUUCAAACCCCGUUGAAGUCC
Molecule: transfer RNA, 72 nt
Filed under: Acropora cervicornis
Lineage: Eukaryota; Metazoa; Cnidaria; Anthozoa; Scleractinia; Acroporidae
Description: tRNA-Thr
Rfam family: tRNA
About the family: Transfer RNA (tRNA) molecules are approximately 80 nucleotides in length. Their secondary structure includes four short double-helical elements and three loops (D, anti-codon, and T loops).
Source: RNAcentral